AAACUGUUUUCCAAAGUAGCUGUACCAUUUGCAUUCC
RNAcentral lists this microRNA (37 nucleotides) under Canis lupus familiaris (dog). Its description in RNAcentral is "miRNA (ENSCAFG00845015372.1)". The record is from RNAcentral. Lineage: Eukaryota; Metazoa; Chordata; Mammalia; Carnivora; Canidae.